This 253-nucleotide ribosomal RNA is filed under the name uncultured bacterium. Its description in RNAcentral is "partial 16S ribosomal RNA". It matches the Rfam family "Bacterial small subunit ribosomal RNA", at positions 524 to 776 of the family's 1533-position model. The record is from RNAcentral.
UACAGAGGGGGCAAGCGUUGUUCGGAAUCACUGGGCGUAAAGCGUGCGUAGGCGGCUUUACAAGUCAGGGGUGAAAUGCCAAGGCUUAACCUUGGAACUGCCUUUGAAACUGUAAAGCUGGAGUGUCGGAGGGGAUAGCGGAAUUUCUAAUGUAGCGGUGAAAUGCGUAGAUAUUAGAAGGAACACCGGUGGCGAAGGCGGCUAUCUGGACGACAACUGACGCUGAGGCACGAAAGCGUGGGGAUCAAACAGG